UAAUUCUUCUUUCUUGGUAAU
RNAcentral lists this non-coding RNA (21 nucleotides) under Caenorhabditis elegans. Lineage: Eukaryota; Metazoa; Nematoda; Chromadorea; Rhabditida; Rhabditidae. The record is from RNAcentral.